This 510-nucleotide ribosomal RNA is filed under the name uncultured bacterium. Its description in RNAcentral is "partial 16S ribosomal RNA". It matches the Rfam family "Bacterial small subunit ribosomal RNA", at positions 28 to 507 of the family's 1533-position model. The record is from RNAcentral.
GACGAACGCUGGCGGCGUGCUUAACACAUGCAAGUCGAACGAAGAGCGAUGGAAGCUUGCUUCUAUCAAUCUUAGUGGCGCACGGGUGAGUAACGCGUAAUCAACCUGCCCUUCAGAGGGGGACAACAGUUGGAAACGACUGCUAAUACCGCAUACGAUCUAAUCUCGGCAUCGAGGAUAGAUGAAAGGUGGCCUCUACAUGUAAGCUAUCACUGAAGGAGGGGAUUGCGUCUGAUUAGCUAGUUGGAGGGGUAACGGCCCACCAAGGCGAUGAUCAGUAGCCGGUCUGAGAGGAUGAACGGCCACAUUGGGACUGAGACACGGCCCAGACUCCUACGGGAGGCAGCAGUGGGGAAUCUUCCGCAAUGGACGAAAGUCUGACGGAGCAACGCCGCGUGAGUGACGACGGCCUUCGGGUUGUAAAGCUCUGUUAAUCGGGACGAAAGGCCUUCUUGCGAAUAGUGAGAAGGAUUGACGGUACCGGAAUAGAAAGCCACGGCUAACUACGUG